AACGAACGCUGGCGGCAGGCUUAACACAUGCAAGUCGAACGAGAUCUUCGGAUCUAGUGGCAGACGGGUGAGGAACACGUGGGAACAUCCCUUUCAGUUCGGAAUAACGUUGGGAAACUAACGCUAAUACCGGAUACGUCCUUCGGGAGAAAGAUUUAUCGCUGAAAGAUUGGCCCGCGUCUGAUUAGCUAGUUGGUGAGGUAACGGCUCACCAAGGCUACGAUCAGUAGCUGAUCUGAGAGGAUGAUCAGCCACAUUGGGACUGAGAAACGGCCCAAACUCCUACGGGAGGCAGCAGUGGGGAAUAUUGGACAAUGGGCGCAAGCCUGAUCCAGCCAUGCCGCGUGAGUGAUGGCGGCCUUCGGGUUGUAAAGCUCUUUUGUCCGGGAAGAUAAUGACUGUACCGGAAGAAUAAGCCCCGGCAAACUUCGUGCCAGCCGCCGCCGUAA
This 449-nucleotide ribosomal RNA is filed under the name uncultured bacterium. RNAcentral's name for it is "partial 16S ribosomal RNA". It matches the Rfam family "Bacterial small subunit ribosomal RNA", at positions 29 to 523 of the family's 1533-position model. The record is from RNAcentral.